Sorex araneus (European shrew) is the source of this 129-nucleotide small nucleolar RNA. The record is from Ensembl. NCBI's taxonomy places the organism in Eukaryota, Metazoa, Chordata, Mammalia, Eulipotyphla, Soricidae.
GGAUGCCCUAUUUAAACAUCAGCCACUUCCACAUAGCAGCUAUGAUCAAAAAAGAGACAAGAGUGAUAUUUUCCUUGAUGUUCAGCAUCCUCUGCUGUAACUGAUCUGUCCAUAUCAGAAAAGACAGUU